AGAGCAUUUUAAAGCCAGGGUCUAGCCCCUUGGCCUUCUUCUCUGUCCUUUCAAGGGGUCCUGAGGUAUGUUUUACCAAGCUGCAGCCUCUCUGGGGUUAUGACCUCCCCCUCUUUGUUCCAUUUUUCUGUGGCUGGUUAGUGGAGCCAAGUCCCUGUGACUUGCAAUGGGAAAUGGGAAUGUCUGGCCUGGGACAAACACACUCCAAACCUUGAGCUUUUCUCAGGUGAGGGCCAGGCAUGUUCCACCUUGAUUUAACUCUAGACUAUCCAGACAAAAAGCAACCUGAGACCAGACAGGUAGACUAACUCUGACUCAGGGAUGAGCCAAGUAGGGAUCUCCUAAGUACUAAGGUCAAGAUAAGCAGGUGACCCGGUCAUCCUUAGACAUCGGCACAGGCUUGGCAUGAAAGGAAUGGUGGUUGGGGUUGCAUACUGCCCUGGACAACCUAGCUUUCUACCCUGCAGGACCCUGUCUGGGUCUAUCUCUACCUGCAUAGAACUGGACCCAGAGUGGCUGGAAGCCCCCUCCUCUAUUUUGUCAGUGUUUGUGACCUGCUUACUAAGGCUUAAGGGAUGCCAUUGGAGGGGUCCCCAAGCUUUGUCCCUCCCCCUAUUGAGAGCUGCUUUCUGCCCUGUGGAGUACUGCCUUUGUUAUGCGCCUGCCAGGAGGUCCCAUGACACACUGCAGAGAGCACGUGGCUGCCACUCUGGCCUCUUUCAGAAAGUGGCACAUCCCUGGACACCAGCACAUCUGUGUAUCUAGUGGCUUAUGCCUGCAGUUAGAAGCAGGAGCCACCAAGCUUCUAGAAAGGCUAGAGACAGGAGCUGAAGGUAAGUCACCGGGCACAUUCCAGGGCCGGUGAUGUUUUCUCCUUCAGACUCGCUCAGAGUUGCUGUCCUUUCUGUGGGUCCUAAAGGUAGGGACAGGGACUUGUUCUGUGGCCCAGAGCUAAGCCACAGGGAAGACAGCAAUGGCCCCACACAGGAGCAGGGUGGACCCCGCUGUCCCCGUAACCAUGUCCUGGGCCAGGACUGCCUGGAUGGGCAGAUCUUGGGCCAGUUGCGCCCAGGGUCAGAAGAAGAAGACUCUUCUGAGCCUGCCUUCCCUGAGAUGGAUUCAGAGGAUCUCCGCCUAGCUUCCUUCUACAACUGGCCAUCCACUGCGGGAAUCCAGCCUGAGCCAUUGGCUGCUGCAGGUUUCUUCCACACAGGCCAGCAGGACAAAGUGAGAUGUUUCUUCUGCUAUGGGGGUCUACAGAGCUGGGAGCGUGGGGAUGAUCCCUGGACGGAGCAUGCCCGAUGGUUUCCCAGGUGUCAGUUUCUGCUACAGUCAAAAGGAAGGGAUUUUGUGGAACGAAUCCAGACAUACGCCCCCUUGCUUGGAUCCUGGGACCAAUGGGAAGAACCAGAAGAUGCAGCCCCUGCCAGCCCCUCAGCUCCUGCCCUUGGAGGCCCUGAGUUACUCACAUCUAGAAGAGAGACCCAGCCUGAAGAAGCCAGUGAGCCAGUCCCCAGGAGCUGGGGAUGUGCAGGAACAGCUGCGACAGCUGCAGGAGGAGCGGACGUGCAAGGUGUGCCUGGAUCGAGCCGUAUCUGUGGUCUUCGUGCCCUGCGGCCACUUGGUCUGUACUGAAUGUGCCCCCAACCUGCAGCUGUGCCCGAUCUGCAGGGUGCCCAUCUGUAGCUGUGUACGCACCUUCCUGUCCUAAAAUCAGGCACUGUACCAAAAGGUGGGCCCCCUGCCCGCCUCAACCUGUUUCAGAGCGGACAGUGGGUCUCCUGAGGACAUUCAGUGUCCACCACAGACAUAGGACAGCCCGGAGGAAGAGUUUCUGGCUGGUGUGGGGGGUGAUUCUGCUGUAGCUU
Molecule: RNA transcript, 1868 nt
Organism: Meriones unguiculatus (Mongolian gerbil)
Lineage: Eukaryota; Metazoa; Chordata; Mammalia; Rodentia; Muridae
Gene: Birc7
Gene name: baculoviral IAP repeat containing 7
Exons: 7
Source: RefSeq, a predicted model, not a curated record